RNAcentral lists this ribosomal RNA (540 nucleotides) under Nakaseomyces glabratus. RNAcentral's name for it is "eukaryotic LSU rRNA". It matches the Rfam family "Eukaryotic large subunit ribosomal RNA", at positions 46 to 583 of the family's 3401-position model. Lineage: Eukaryota; Fungi; Ascomycota; Saccharomycetes; Saccharomycetales; Saccharomycetaceae. The record is from RNAcentral.
CUUUACGGAGGAAAAGAAACCAACUGGGAUUGCCUUAGUAACGGCGAGUGAAGCGGCAAAAGCUCAAAUUUGAAAUCUGGUACCUUUGGUGCCCGAGUUGUAAUUUGGAGAGUACCACUUUGGGACUGUACUUUGCCUAUGUUCCUUGGAACAGGACGUCAUGGAGGGUGAGAAUCCCGUGUGGCGAGGGUGUCAGUUCUUUGUAAAGGGUGCUCGAAGAGUCGAGUUGUUUGGGAAUGCAGCUCUAAGUGGGUGGUAAAUUCCAUCUAAAGCUAAAUACAGGCGAGAGACCGAUAGCGAACAAGUACAGUGAUGGAAAGAUGAAAAGAACUUUGAAAAGAGAGUGAAAAAGUACGUGAAAUUGUUGAAAGGGAAGGGCAUUUGAUCAGACAUGGUGUUUUGCGCCCCUUGCCUCUCGUGGGCUUGGGACUCUCGCAGCUCACUGGGCCAGCAUCGGUUUUGGCGGCCGGAAAAAACCUAGGGAAUGUGGCUCUGCGCCUCGGUGUAGAGUGUUAUAGCCCUGGGGAAUACGGCCAGCCG